UGAGGAAUAUUGGACAAUGGGUGAGAGCCUGAUCCAGCCAUCCCGCGUGAAGGACGACGGCCCUAUGGGUUGUAAACUUCUUUUGUAUAGGGAUAAACCUACCACUACGUGAGGGUAGCUGAAGGUACUAUACAGAAUAAGCACCGGC
Molecule: ribosomal RNA, 148 nt
Filed under: uncultured Bacteroidota bacterium
Lineage: Bacteria; Pseudomonadati; Bacteroidota
Description: uncultured Bacteroidetes bacterium partial 16S rRNA
Rfam family: Bacterial small subunit ribosomal RNA
Source: RNAcentral